This 816-nucleotide ribosomal RNA is filed under the name marine sponge bacterium PLATESPH3. Its description in RNAcentral is "partial 16S ribosomal RNA". It matches the Rfam family "Bacterial small subunit ribosomal RNA", at positions 60 to 922 of the family's 1533-position model. The record is from RNAcentral.
AGUCGAACGGAUCCUUCGGGAUUAGUGGCAGACGGGUGAGUAACGCGUGGGAAGCUACCUUGNGGUAGGGGACAACNGUUUGAAAAGACUGCUAAUACCCUAUGAGCCCUAUGGGGGAAAGAUUUAUCGCCAUGAGAUGUGCCCGCGUUAGAUUAGCUAGUUGGNAAGGNAAUGGCUUACCAAGGCGACNAUCUAUAGCUGGUCUGAAAGGAUGAUCAGCCACACUGGGACUGAAACACGGCCCANACUCCUACGGGAGGCAGCAGUGGGGAAUAUUGGACAAUGGGGGCAACCCUGAUCCAGCCAUGCCGCGUGUGUGAUGACGGCCUUANGGUUGUAAAGCACUUUCAGCAGUGAAGAUAAUGACAUUAACUGCAGAAGAAGCCCCGGCUAACUUCCUGCCNGCAGCCGCGGUAAUACNAAGGGGGCUAGCGUUGUUCGGAAUCACUGGGCGUAAAGAGUACGUANGCGGACUGAUAANUUAGGGGUGAAAUCCCAAGGNUCAACCUUGGAACUGCCUUUGAUACUGUCAGUCUUGANAUCCAGAGAGGUGANUGGAACUCCCANUGUAGAGGUGAAAUUCNUAAAUAUUCNGAAGAACACCAGUGGCGAAGGCGGCUCACUGGCUCNAUACUGACGCUGAAGUACGAAAGCGUGGGGAGCAAACANGAUUAAAUACCCUGGUAGUCCACGCCGUAAACGAUGAAUGCUAGUUGUCAGGUAGCUUGCUAUUUGGUGACGCAGCUAACGCAUUAAGCAUUCCCGCCUGGGGAGUACGGUCGCAAGAUUAAAACUCAAAGGAAUUGACGGGGGCCC